UUUAAACCCUAAAUAUGAUUUAUGUAAUUCUCAUAUUA
Molecule: transfer RNA, 38 nt
Filed under: Placobdella nuchalis
Lineage: Eukaryota; Metazoa; Annelida; Clitellata; Rhynchobdellida; Glossiphoniidae
Description: partial tRNA-Leu
Source: RNAcentral